GACGAACGCUGGCGGCGUGCUUAACACAUGCAAGUCGAGCGGUAAGGCCCUUUCGGGGGUACACGAGCGGCGAACGGGUGAGUAACACGUGGGUGACCUGCCCUCAGCUCUGGGAUAAGCCUGGGAAACCGGGUCUAAUACCGGAUAUGACUCCAUGACGCAUGUUGUGGGGUGGAAAGCCUUGUGCGGCUGAGGAUGGGCCCGCGGCCUAUCAGCUUGUUGGUGGGGUGAUGGCCUACCAAGGCGACGACGGGUAGCCGGCCUGAGAGGGCGACCGGCCACACUGGGACUGAGACACGGCCCAGACUCCUACGGGAGGCAGCAGUGGGGAGUAUUGGACAAUGGGCGCAAGCCUGAUCCAGCGAUGCCGCGUGUGUGAAGAAGGCCUGCGGGUUGUAAAGCACUUUCAGUAGGGAAGAAAAGCCGAGUGCUAAUAUCAUUUCGGUCUUGACGUUACUUACAGAAGAAGCACCGGCUAACUCCGUGCCAGCAGCCGCGGUAA
RNAcentral lists this ribosomal RNA (502 nucleotides) under uncultured bacterium. RNAcentral's name for it is "bacterial SSU rRNA". It matches the Rfam family "Bacterial small subunit ribosomal RNA", at positions 28 to 523 of the family's 1533-position model. The record is from RNAcentral.